GAACCCCGCACGGAAGGAAAAAAACCUCCGGAAAGCUUCUUCGAUCCACGCGUCACGUGUAACCCUAGCUCCAGCCCAACUCUGUGCCGCCGGACGCAGAGCCGCCCCACGCUGCCUAGCCCGAUCAAAGCCGCCUCCCUUCUCGCAGUCGCACCUGAGCCGGUCGCCUUGGAUCAGAGCCGCCUGCCCCUGCUUCCCUUCUUCUUCGCCUUGGAUCAGGGGCGUCUCCUCCACGAGUACUGGGGCUAGGGCGCCGGCGGCGAGACACACAAGUGGGCCCACUGAGCGGACGCCCUGAUGGCUCGGUACAUCAACGACGUUAGGGAGAAGUUUGACAGGUACGACGGUGGCGGCGGUGGGUACCCCAUGGCGGCAAGCGGUGGGUCAACAGGCACCAGCCAGACGCAGCACAACGAGGUUGUUAUCCAGGGAUUCCCAAGGCCUCCACUCGAAGAGAUGAUUAACUACUUGGAAGUUGUCUCUUCAAUUUUUAGAAGCAUCGAAUGUUUCCGCUAUCCGCUAUAGGUCCUGAUUGUUGGUACAUGUCUGAUGUAAUUCUAGGAUCUAAAAGAUGGAUAAUUUUCAUAGGCCAGCUAACUUUGUGAUAAAUGAGUAUUAAUGACAUCUGUCUCUUUAUAUUAUCAUUAUUUGUUUCCAGAGUAUUUUUUUUCAAGAUUAUUGCUGCUAUUGUUGUAUGCCUUGAAAGGAUAGCUGCUUGAAAGAUGGAGAUUGUGUAUGAGGCUAACCUUCAUAUUUUUGUAAGUUAUGAUCUGGUUUGAUAUGUUUCUCUUCGUGUUCUACAUUUAUUAGCACAUAUAGUAGUUUGUAUUUUUUUUUUGUAUGGACCUGGUUGCGGAAAAAUCACUUGAUAUUUUUGUAUAUAAAAGGUGAUACUAAGGCAUCUACUUCUAAAAUUUAUCAGAUGAGACACUGUGUGCAAGAUUAUCAGAACCGACAUUUUAUAUAGCUUGAUAUGUUUGGAGUACUGUCAAACUGGGCGGAGCUGAUUAAUAUCAUCAAUGGAGUAUUGCUUACCUUGUAUUAAAAAUAUGCAAAUAUCAAGGAGAAAAUGGUCUGCUUUAUUUCUUCUUCCUCUGUACGUGGUUUUUAUUUUGGGACAAGAUUAUUUUAUUUCUUUUGAUGGUGGCUUCUGUAAGGAUAGAUAUGCAACUGUAAUACAUGAAUGAGAAGUAUCAUUUGUUUUAUUUCACCUUCCUCUGUUGGUGUUUCUACCUCUACUUUACAGAGAGCGACAUUUGGUUCUCUUCUCCAUUCAUCUCAUGGAAUCAAUACAGAACCUGUUAUGUAUGACAUUUUUUGUUUCUUAAGGGCAAGUCCACUUCAGAUCAUACAUGUACAGCAACAUGGUUUCACUCUUGAGAAAGUUUGACUGCAGAUAAGCAGAAGCACAUGUGCGGCUCGCCGGCGAAUGACAGCGUCAGCUGUAGGCAUCCAGGCGACGCCCCGGAAAGAUGCAAUGCAAUUUAGCUCUAGGAUUUGAGUCUUGUAGUGAACUAGCUAGAGCACUUAUUGGUUCAUAAGAUGGUUUAAUCUGUGCUAAAUAUAGUUCAAAUGCCGAUGAUAUUUGCAGUCGGUUUUCACCUCACGAAACGUGAAAACAUGUGGGAUAGAUUAUGAUUUAGAAUCUUGGUUUAUAAGAUAGUUUUGUUUGAAUGACUUGUACUUAGCUCUUUGCACCACAGAAAUGACAUUUAAUUUACUCA
Molecule: long non-coding RNA, 1724 nt
Organism: Brachypodium distachyon (stiff brome)
Lineage: Eukaryota; Viridiplantae; Streptophyta; Magnoliopsida; Poales; Poaceae
Exons: 4
Source: RefSeq, a predicted model, not a curated record